GGAUAACUAUUGGAAACGAUAGCUAAUACCGCAUAACAAUGGGUGACACAUGUCAUUUAUUUGAAAGGGGCAAUUGCUCCACUACAAGAUGGACCUGCGUUGUAUUAGCUAGUAGGUGAGGUAACGGCUCACCUAGGCGACGAUACAUAGCCGACCUGAGAGGGUGAUCGGCCACACUGGGACUGAGACACGGCCCAGACUCCUACGGGAGGCAGCAGUAGGGAAUCUUCGGCAAUGGGGGCAACCCUGACCGAGCAACGCCGCGUGAGUGAAGAAGGUUUUCGGAUCGUAAAGCUCUGUUGUAAGUCAAGAACGAGUGUGAGAGUGGAAAGUUCACACUGUGACGGUAGCUUACCAGAAAGGGACGGCUAACUACGUGCCAGCAGCCGCGGUAAUACGUAGGUCCCGAGCGUUGUCCGGAUUUAUUGGGCGUAAAGCGAGCGCAGGCGGUUUGAUAAGUCUGAAGUUAAAGGCCGUGGCUCAACCAUAGUUCGCUUUGGAAACUGUCAAACUUGAGUGCAGAAGGGGAGAGUGGAAUUCCAUGUGUAGCGGUGAAAUGCGUAGAUAUAUGGAGGAACACCGGUGGCGAAAGCGGCUCUCUGGUCUGUAACUGACGCUGAGGCUCGAAAGCGUGGGGAGCGAACAGGAUUAGAUACCCUGGUAGUCCACGCCGUAAACGAUGAGUACUAGGUGUUGGAUCCUUUCCGGGAUUCAGUGCCGCAG
RNAcentral lists this ribosomal RNA (723 nucleotides) under uncultured bacterium. RNAcentral describes it as "bacterial SSU rRNA". It matches the Rfam family "Bacterial small subunit ribosomal RNA", at positions 141 to 851 of the family's 1533-position model. The record is from RNAcentral.